UACAGAUACAAUAAAUAACACACGAAACGAAACUGUGAAGGAACUGGAGCUGGAACUAGCGCGCGCUUUUUAAAAGUAUCGGUUCGUUAGGCUCCACAUCCAGCCGGGCAGCAGACCCAUGCCAGUGCCCGUAUUUGUGUUCGUAUUUGGAAUCUGCGGUACUGCAUUAUGGCAAUAUACGUUUGGAUGGAAUUGAUCGAUUGAUCCCAACCGAAAUGAAAUGAGAGACAGAUAUGUAAUAAAGAAAAAUUGAUAAAAAAGAUAAUCGCAUAAAUACAAUUUCAGCAAGUCGAAGCGGUUUACAGCGGGCAGCUUUUGGGUGUGCGCAGGAUUACGUGCUGUUUGUGACGUAACUAAAUACAAUUUGAUCUACGAAUGAUUGCGAUUGCGAUUGCGAUACGUUAAGCAAGCGAUAGCGAUAGCGAUAACGAUAGCUAAUAAUCAGUUCGAUCAACUGGCAUAAAAUACAAUUGCUAAAAAUGAAGCACACAGAGCUACAAUUAAUAAAGCUUAAUUACACGCAGACACACACAUCAGAGAUGGGAGAGCAGCUUUUAAUUGAUGACACACACACACACACAGAUUGGGUGAGGGGUUCAAACGUUAUUUGCUGGGCAAUAAAAACAAACACAUUGACUUCAAUAAUAGAAUUGAACUACAAUACGAGUACGAGUACGAUACGAUACAUAUAUAAACUUAAUUAAACAUACCAUAUUUGUAUAAAUUCAUUUAAUGGAUACGUCUCUGUGUGGAGAGACUGCCAGAUUUUUAAGGAUUUUUAAAACAUUUUUUUGGCUGUUCAGCUACUAUCGAAUCCGCUUGGGACUCAAACAAAACUACCGCCGAGUCGAUCCCACUCACCUGCGUCCAGAUCAAUAUCACCA
Molecule: small RNA, 884 nt
Filed under: Drosophila virilis
Lineage: Eukaryota; Metazoa; Arthropoda; Insecta; Diptera; Drosophilidae
Description: GJ25592
Source: RNAcentral